This 439-nucleotide ribosomal RNA is filed under the name uncultured bacterium. Its description in RNAcentral is "partial 16S ribosomal RNA". It matches the Rfam family "Bacterial small subunit ribosomal RNA", at positions 338 to 795 of the family's 1533-position model. The record is from RNAcentral.
CCUACGGGAGGCAGCAGUGGGGGAUAUUGCACAAUGGGCGAAAGCCUGAUGCAGCGACGCCGCGUGAGGGAAGACGGUCUUCGGAUUGUAAACCUCUGUCUUUGGGGAAGAAGAUGACGGUACCCAAAGAGGAAGCUCCGGCGAACGACGUGCCAGCAGCCGCGGUAAUACGUAGGGAGCGAGCGUUGUCCGGAAUUACUGGGUGUACAGGGAGCGUAGGCGGGGAUGCAAGUGGGAUGUUUAAACUAUCGGCUCAACCGGUAAUUGCAACCAAAACUACAACUCUUGAGUGAAGGAGAGGCAGGCGGACUUCCUCGUGUAGCGGUUACAUGCGUAGAUAUUAGGAGGAACCCCAGUGGCGCCGGCGGCCUGCUGGGCUUUACCUGACGCUGCGGCUCGAAAGCGUGGGGAGCAAACCGGAUUAGAUACCCCAGUAGUC